This 253-nucleotide ribosomal RNA is filed under the name uncultured bacterium. RNAcentral describes it as "partial 16S ribosomal RNA". It matches the Rfam family "Bacterial small subunit ribosomal RNA", at positions 524 to 776 of the family's 1533-position model. The record is from RNAcentral.
UACGGAGGGUGCAGGCGAUCUGCGGAAUCACUGGGUUUAAAGGGUGCGCAGGCGGCUUGAUAAGUCAGGGGUGAAAGCCCGCAGCUUAACUGCGGAACUGCCUUUGAUACUGUCGAGCUUGAAAGAGGUUGAGGUCAGCGGAACGUGACAUGUAGCGGUGAAAUGCAUAGAUAUGUCACAGAACACCGAUUGCGAAGGCAGCUGGCUGGACCUACUUUGACGCUGAGGCACGACAGCGUGGGGAGCGAACAGG